GACCGUAUAGCGCAGUGAUUAGCGCGUCUAAUUUCGGUUCAGAAGGUCGUGGGUUCAACUCCCACUGUGGUUG
Transfer RNA from Ipomoea nil (Japanese morning glory), 73 nucleotides. It matches the Rfam family "tRNA". Rfam says of the family: Transfer RNA (tRNA) molecules are approximately 80 nucleotides in length. Their secondary structure includes four short double-helical elements and three loops (D, anti-codon, and T loops). NCBI's taxonomy places the organism in Eukaryota, Viridiplantae, Streptophyta, Magnoliopsida, Solanales, Convolvulaceae. The record is from Rfam.